Molecule: long non-coding RNA, 224 nt
Organism: Hipposideros armiger (great roundleaf bat)
Lineage: Eukaryota; Metazoa; Chordata; Mammalia; Chiroptera; Hipposideridae
Exons: 3
Source: RefSeq, a predicted model, not a curated record
ACUGAUAUAUUCUUCUCAUAUCAGAAAACACACUAGCUCGAGAUGCUGCAGUGCAGAAGAUCGAGACUAUUAUCAAGGAACAAUUUGCACUUGAAAUGAAGAAUAAGGAACAUGAAAUUGAAGUCAUUGACCAGCGACUGAUUGAGGCAAGAAGGAUGAUGGAUAAACUUCGUGCCUGCAUUGUCGCAAACUACUACGCUUCUGCAGGACUUCUAAAAGUUUCU